GAUGAACGCUGGCGGCGUGCCUAACACAUGCAAGUCGAGCGAUUUACUUCGGUAAAGAGCGGCGGACGGGUGAGUAACGCGUGGGUAACCUGCCCUGUACACACGGAUAACAUACCGAAAGGUAUGCUAAUACGAGAUAAUAUGCUUUUAUCGCAUGGUAGGAGUAUCAAAGCUUUUGCGGUACAGGAUGGACCCGCGUCUGAUUAGCUAGUUGGUAAGGUAACGGCUUACCUAGGCGACGAUCAGUAGCCGACCUGAGAGGGUGAUCGGCCACAUUGGAGAUGAGACACGGUCCAAACUCCUACGGGAGGCAGCAGUGGGGAAUAUUGCACAAUGGGCGAAAGCCUGAUGCAGCAACGCCGCGUGAGCGAUGAAGGCCUUCGGGUCGUAAAGCUCUGUCCUCAAGGAAGAUAAUGACGGUACUUGAGGAGGAAGCCCCGGCUAACUACGUGCCAGCAGCCGCCGUAA
This 468-nucleotide ribosomal RNA is filed under the name uncultured bacterium. RNAcentral's name for it is "partial 16S ribosomal RNA". It matches the Rfam family "Bacterial small subunit ribosomal RNA", at positions 28 to 523 of the family's 1533-position model. The record is from RNAcentral.